UAGUCCACGCAGUAAACGUUGAUCACUAGGUGUAGCGGGUAUUGACCCCUGCUGUGCCGCAGUUAACGCAUUAAGUGAUCCGCCUGGGGAGUACGGCCGCAAGGUUAAAACUCAAAGGGAAUUGACGGGGGCCCGCACAAGCGGUGGAGCAUGUGGUUUAAUUCGACGCAACGCGAAGAACCUUACCUGGAUUUGACAUCCCGAGGAGUCUUUUGAAAAAUUGAUGUGCCCUUCGGGGAACUCGGUGACAGGUGCUGCAUGGCUGUCGUCAGCUCGUGUCGUGAGAUGUUGGGUUAAGUCCCGCAACGAGCGCAACCCUUGUCUUUAGUUACCAGCGAUUCGGUCGGGGACUCUAGAGAUACUGCCCCGGUUAACGGGGACGGAAGGUGGGGGAUGACGUCAAGUCCUCAUGGCCUUUAUGUCCAGGGCUACACACGUGCUACAAUGGGCUGUACAAGGGUCGCGAAGCCUGCGAAGGUUAGCUAACCCCAGAAAGCAGUUCUUAGUUCGGAUUGGAGUCUGC
Molecule: ribosomal RNA, 523 nt
Filed under: uncultured bacterium
Lineage: Bacteria
Description: bacterial SSU rRNA
Rfam family: Bacterial small subunit ribosomal RNA
Source: RNAcentral